GUUGAAUCCUGGUCGACUGCGGGGGUAAUGCUGGGGGUGGAAGCGUUACUCUGAAGCACUGUGCGUAAAGAGCAUGUAGGCGGAUUAAUAAGUUUGAAGUGAAAUACUAUAGCUUAACUAUAGAACUGCUUUGAAAACUGUUAAUCUAGUAUGUGGGAGAGGUAGAUGGAAUUUCUGGUGUAGGGGUAAAAUCCGUAGAGAUCAGAAGGAAUACCGAUUGCGAAGGCGAUCUACUGGAACAUUAUUGACGCUGAGAUGCGAAAGCGUGGGGAGCAAACAGGAUUAGAUACCCUGGUAGUC
Molecule: ribosomal RNA, 300 nt
Filed under: uncultured Spiroplasma sp.
Lineage: Bacteria; Bacillati; Mycoplasmatota; Mollicutes; Entomoplasmatales; Spiroplasmataceae
Description: bacterial SSU rRNA
Rfam family: Bacterial small subunit ribosomal RNA
Source: RNAcentral